RNAcentral lists this ribosomal RNA (67 nucleotides) under Candolleomyces typhae. RNAcentral describes it as "partial 18S ribosomal RNA". Lineage: Eukaryota; Fungi; Basidiomycota; Agaricomycetes; Agaricales; Psathyrellaceae. The record is from RNAcentral.
GUCAUUCAUAUCACCUUUCCACCUGUGAACUAUUUGUAGAUCUGGAUCCCUCUCGCUUUGCUCGCAU